GCCGAAGUGGCGGAAUUGGCAGACGCGCUAGAUUCAGGUUCUAGUGGUGGCAACACCGUAAGGGUUCAAGUCCCUUCUUCGGCA
This 84-nucleotide transfer RNA is filed under the name Candidatus Kuenenia stuttgartensis. Its description in RNAcentral is "Candidatus Kuenenia stuttgartiensis tRNA". It matches the Rfam family "tRNA". From Rfam's summary of the family: Transfer RNA (tRNA) molecules are approximately 80 nucleotides in length. Their secondary structure includes four short double-helical elements and three loops (D, anti-codon, and T loops). Further hydrogen bonds mediate the characteristic L-shaped molecular structure. tRNAs have two regions of fundamental functional importance: the anti-codon, which is responsible for specific mRNA codon recognition, and the 3' end, to which the tRNAs corresponding amino acid is attached (by aminoacyl-tRNA synthetases). tRNAs cope with the degeneracy of the genetic code in two manners: having more than one tRNA (with a specific anti-codon) for a particular amino acid; and 'wobble' base-pairing, i.e. permitting non-standard base-pairing at the 3rd anti-codon position. Lineage: Bacteria; Pseudomonadati; Planctomycetota; Candidatus Brocadiia; Candidatus Brocadiales; Candidatus Brocadiaceae. The record is from Rfam by way of RNAcentral. RNAcentral also lists the same sequence under 2 other names.